UACGUAGGGUGCGAGCGUUAAUCGGAAUUACUGGGCGUAAAGCGUGCGCAGGCGGUGGCUCAAGCCAGGCGUGAAAUCCCCGGGCUUAACCUGGGAAUGGCGUUUGGGACUGGGUCGCUAGAGUGUGGCAGAGGGAGGUGGAAUUCCACGUGGUAGCAGUGAAAUGCGUAGAGAUGUGGAGGAACACCGAUGGCGAAGGCAGCCUCCUGGGCCAGCACUGACGCUCAUGCACGAAAGCGUGGGGAGCGAACAGG
RNAcentral lists this ribosomal RNA (254 nucleotides) under uncultured bacterium. Its description in RNAcentral is "partial 16S ribosomal RNA". It matches the Rfam family "Bacterial small subunit ribosomal RNA", at positions 524 to 776 of the family's 1533-position model. The record is from RNAcentral.